Molecule: non-coding RNA, 849 nt
Organism: Biomphalaria pfeifferi
Lineage: Eukaryota; Metazoa; Mollusca; Gastropoda; Planorbidae
Source: the annotation of a GenBank genome assembly
GCUUGUAUUAAGCAUACUUGUAACAAUUAGUUUGGAUAAGUGUGUAAUUAAAUUUGUGAUAGAUCUAGAUUUACAUUAACAUAAAGCAUUUAUACAAAUUUUUAAAAAAAUUAAAACGACCUGAAUUCAAACGCAUGGUUCAAGCCAACAUGAUAGCCACUCUGCUAGUGAAGUUAUGAACUUAUAUAGUUAUCUAUUGUUUCUAUAGUCUCAACCUAUUUUUCAGGUUUGUGUUUAUGACCAUCUAUAAAAGAAACUAAUUCAACUUGUCCUAUCACUUCAGCUAGUACAAAAUCAUUCCCUUGUUUGAGAUACUAAACAAAACAGCUUGAUCGAAGAUUGGGCGUGGUAGAAAUAACGUGUACAGACUUUUUACCAGACAGACAGACAGAAAUGAUAUAAGCUAUGUAACAACAACCAAUGUGUGUCCAUCAUUUCUCUUUAUUAAUCCAAUCAACAAUAUCAUGAACACAUUGCCCCAGACAGUCAAAUCAGUGUUGAUAACAAAAAAAUUACAUUUUGAUACAAAAUGUAUUGGGAGUAUUAGGCAUUAGACAAGACAAAACUAUGGAACUUAAUCUAUAUUAUAGUUUUUGUUGUAAUAACAACACAAAAAUAUAUACAUGUAGUUCUGUAGGUGUUCUUUACAAAAAAAAAGUCUAUGCUUAAAAAACUAUGGAACCUAAAACUAUAUUAUGGUUUGUAUGAAUUAAUAACAACACUAAAAUAUAUAUAUACUAGUCCUAUAAGUGUUCUUUCUAAAAAGUCAAUGCUUAAACAUAAGACAGGUCUAAGCAUGUUUUGUCAUUAGUUUUUUUAGAGUUUUCCAUCAUGACUAGAAAAUGGAUG